Molecule: ribosomal RNA, 427 nt
Filed under: uncultured Pseudomonas sp.
Lineage: Bacteria; Pseudomonadati; Pseudomonadota; Gammaproteobacteria; Pseudomonadales; Pseudomonadaceae
Also listed under: 1 other name
Description: partial 16S ribosomal RNA
Rfam family: Bacterial small subunit ribosomal RNA
Source: RNAcentral
UGGGGAAUAUUGGACAAUGGGGGGAACCCUGAUCCAGCCAUGCCGCGUGUGUGAAGAAGGUCUUAGGAUUGUAAAGCACUUUAAGUUGGGAGGAAGAGCAGUUAACUAAUAUUUGACUGUUUUGACGUUACCGACAGAAUAAGCACCGGCUAACUUCGUGCCAGCAGCCGCGGUAAUACGAAGGGUGCAAGCGUUAAUCGGAAUUACUGGGCGUAAAGCGCGCGUAGGUGGUUCAGUAAGUUAGGAGUGAAAGCCCCGGGCUUAACCUGGGAAUUGCUUCUAAAACUGCUGAGCUAGAGUACGGUAGAGGGUGGUGGAAUUUCCUGUGUAGCGGUGAAAUGCGUAGAUAUAGGAAGGAACAUCAGUGGCGAAGGCGACCACCUGGACUGAUACUGACACUGAGGUGCGAAAGCGUGGGGAGCAAACA